Tilletiaria anomala UBC 951 is the source of this 101-nucleotide non-coding RNA. The record is from the annotation of a RefSeq genome assembly. Lineage: Eukaryota; Fungi; Basidiomycota; Exobasidiomycetes; Georgefischeriales; Tilletiariaceae.
GGCUCCGUAGUGUAAGUGGCUAUCACAGCGGAUUCUGAUUGAUGGCGUUCGCGUCAUGAGUUCAUCUUCCGCUAAUCUGGGUUCGAGUCCCAGCGGGGCCU